GUCUUCGUGGCUCAGUUGGCUAGAGCGUUGGUCUCAUAUUCAUGUGACCCAAUCAAACAUUGGGAUAUCCAAAGGUCGUGAGUUCGAGCCUCACCGAGGACA
This 102-nucleotide transfer RNA is filed under the name Nemania serpens. Its description in RNAcentral is "tRNA-Met". It matches the Rfam family "tRNA". From Rfam's summary of the family: Transfer RNA (tRNA) molecules are approximately 80 nucleotides in length. Their secondary structure includes four short double-helical elements and three loops (D, anti-codon, and T loops). Lineage: Eukaryota; Fungi; Ascomycota; Sordariomycetes; Xylariales; Xylariaceae. The record is from RNAcentral.